Molecule: RNA transcript, 2208 nt
Organism: Ricinus communis (castor bean)
Lineage: Eukaryota; Viridiplantae; Streptophyta; Magnoliopsida; Malpighiales; Euphorbiaceae
Gene name: heterogeneous nuclear ribonucleoprotein 1
Exons: 3
Source: RefSeq, a predicted model, not a curated record
AUUCCCUCUCUUCUCCUUUCUCUAUCUCUCGCAUCGCCCCCAAAAUACCAAACCCUUUCUUUCGGUUCUCAUUUCCCUCUUCCACCAAAACCCCAUCAAACCCAAAAUCCCCAAAUUGACAAAAACCCUGUAUCAUUUAAAUCUCCAAAGGGGAGAAAACCAAUAUAAAGUUAGAAACUUUAUAUGGAUUCAGAUCAGGGGAAAUUGUUUAUUGGUGGAAUUUCAUGGGAAACAACUGAGGAUAAGCUCAAAGACUACUUUGUUCAAUACGGUGACGUUGUGCAAACUGUAGUAAUGAGAGAUAAGACUACUGGUAGACCUAGGGGAUUUGGUUUUGUUGUUUUUGCAGAUCCUAACAUACUUGAUAGGGUUCUUCAAGAUAAGCAUACUAUUGAUGGUAGAACGGUUGAAGCAAAGAAAGCCUUGUCAAGAGAAGAGCAGCAAACCAAUGCCAGAUCUGGAAACCUGAAUCCUCCCAGAAAUUCUGGCAGUGGCGGAAACAUCAGGACCAAGAAGAUAUUUGUUGGGGGGUUGCCACCUGCUCUGACUGAUGAUGAAUUCCGUCAGUAUUUUGAAGCUUAUGGCCUUGUUACUGAUGUAGUAAUAAUGUAUGACCAGAACACCCAAAGGCCUCGUGGAUUUGGAUUUAUUUCCUUUGAUAAUGAGGAUGCGGUUGACCGGGUCUUGCACAAAACUUUUCAUGAUUUGAAUGGUAAGCAAGUUGAAGUGAAACGUGCUCUUCCUAAAGAUGCUAAUCCUGGUGGGGGAAAUCGCUCUAUGGGUGGGGGUGGCAACAUUGGCGGCGGCGGCGGCGGCGGUGCUGGUGGUUAUCAAGGGUAUGGUGCUUCUGGAGGCAAUGCAAGUUCAUAUGAAGGUCGAAUUGAUUCAAAUAGGUAUAUGCAGUCUCAGGGCACCGGAGGUAGCUUUCCUCCUUAUGGCUCAUCUGGUUAUAGUGGGCCUGGUUAUGGAUAUGGUCCUGCCAAUAAUGGUGUUGGGUAUGGUGGCUAUGGCAGUUAUGGUGGUGCUGGUGCUGGUUAUGGAGGCCCAGCUGGUGCUGCCUAUGGGAACCCAGCCGUCCCAAAUGCUGGGUAUGCAAGUGGUCCACCUGGUGCCCCCAGAAGCUCAUGGAGCAGUCAAGCUCCUUCUGGUUAUGGUGCUAUGGGCUAUGGAAAUGCUGCUUCUUGGGGGGCAAAUACUGGUGCUGGUAGUGGUGGUCCUGGUUCAGCACCUGCUGGCCAAUCUCCUAGCGGAAGUGCUGGGUAUGGGAAUCAGGGUUAUGGAUAUGGUAGUUAUGGUGGAAAUGAUGGCUCUUAUGGGAAUCCUGCUGGAUAUAGUGCUGUUGGAGGGCGUUCGGGGGGUGCUCCAAAUAGCAAUGUUGGUGCAGGUGGAGAACUACAGGGGAGUGGUGGUGGCUACAUGGGAAGUGACUAUGGUGAUGCAAAUGGAAAUCCAGGAUAUGGAACCGCAGGAUGGAGAUCCGAUCCAUCACAAGCUUCUGGAAAUUAUGGGACUCAAGCAAAUGGACCUCAUGGUGCGCAAGUUGGUUAUGGUGGGGGCUAUGGUGGUGCUCAGGCCCGACAAGGCCAACAACAAUGAUUGUAGACACAUUGAUGCCCACUGGAUGUUCAUUGUUGUUUGAAGGGUGCCUCUUGCUUUUGUCAUGAGGUCCCUUGCAGAUUUCUUGUUCCCAGCAGCAAGGAGCGGCUCAUAUUGGAUGCUGAUGCGCUUUGGGACCGGAGGAGAUGCUCGAGUUGUAAGGUGGAGUGACGUGUCCACUCAUGGCCGAGCUUCAUAGUGGGUGUGUGUUCAGUUGGGGGUUUUUUUCAGCGUGGAAUGGAAUUUCAAGAGGACUUGUCGAUUGAUAUUGUGAGUUAACUUGAGAAAGACCAUUUUUCAGCUAAUGGUCAAUCUUCUUUUGCAGAUUCUUGGCAUUAAAAGUUAUUAAGUUUCUCAACCAUUCCAGUUCCUGGUGGCUAGUGAGGUCUUGCGGUACGAUGAUUUUUGCAGUUAGCCAUCUCUUGAUGCGAAGAUGUGGAAACUUGAUUGUUUAGGAUAUAGUGCAUUGGAAUAGAUUAAAUAUGUCUUUCCAAACAUUUAGAGAUAGAAAUUGUCAAUAGUAAUGGUGUUGAUCGAUUUUUGGAAUGGAGCAAAAGACUUUGAUUAUAACUAUAGUAAGUUAUUUUAUAAAGAAAAGGGUGAAAGGGCCAA